Molecule: small nuclear RNA, 104 nt
Organism: Suncus etruscus (white-toothed pygmy shrew)
Lineage: Eukaryota; Metazoa; Chordata; Mammalia; Eulipotyphla; Soricidae
Source: RefSeq, a predicted model, not a curated record
GUGCUCGCUUCGGCCGCAAAUAUACUAAAAUUGGAACGAUACAGAGAUUAAUAUGGCCCCUGCGCAAGGAUGACAAGCAAAUUUGUGAAGCAUUCCAUAUUUUU